RNAcentral lists this ribosomal RNA (683 nucleotides) under Chloroflexi bacterium NonCcarNonPione18. Its description in RNAcentral is "bacterial LSU rRNA". It matches the Rfam family "Bacterial large subunit ribosomal RNA", at positions 1932 to 2621 of the family's 2925-position model. Lineage: Bacteria; Bacillati; Chloroflexota. The record is from RNAcentral.
GGCUGUAACUAUAACGGUCCUAAGGUAGCGAAAUCCCUUGUCGGGUAAGUUCCGACCCGCACGAAUGGCGUAACGACCUGAGCGUUGUCUCAACGAGGGGCUCGGUGAAAUUGCAUGGCCGGUGAAGAUGCCGGCUACCCGCGACAGGACAAAAAGACCCCGUGGAGCUUUACUGCAGCUUGGCACUGGAUCGGGGUGACAGAUGUGUAGGAUAGGCGGGAGACUGAGAAUCCCUGGCGCCAGUUGGGGAGGAGUCGUCCUUGAAAUACCGCUCUUCUGUGAUCUUGACCCUAACCUCGAUGAAGUCGAGGGACCGUGCCUGGUGGGCAGUUUGACUGGGGCGGUCGCCUCCUAAAAUGUAACGGAGGCGUCCAAAGGUUCCCUCAGGGUGGAUGGAAAUCACCUGUAGAGUGCAUUGGCAUAAGGGAGCUUGACUGUGAGACCUACAAGUCGAGCAGAGACGAAAGUCGGGCAAAGUGAUCCUACGGUACCGAGUGGAAGGGCCGUGGCUUAACGGAUAAAAGCUACCCCGGGGAUAACAGGCUGAUCUCGCCCAAGAGUUCACAUCGACGGCGAGGUUUGGCACCUCGAUGUCGGCUCGUCGCAUCCUGGGGCUGAAGAAGGUCCCAAGGGUCCGUCUGUUCGCCGGUGAAAGCAGCACGCGAGCUGGGUUCAAUACGAUG